GCGCAGGACAGCAGAUAUGAGUUAUCAACGUAGUUUUACUCAAAUUAACAAAUGUACAAAGUAACAAAACAAGCACACCAUGACGGACCGAAAAUACAACAAUCACUCACAAGGAUCGGUGGUGGCUAGAAGGCCGGCGACGGACCUUCGGCGGAAGUCAUGACAGUACCCCCCCUUUACUUGCGGCUCUCGCAGCGCGUAAAGGGGGGGUACUGGCUGAUCUGGCUCUGAUGCCACGGUGCCAGAACUGGCUGAUACCCCAGUACGUACUGGAAGGGAGAGAGGUUAGUGGAGGAGUGGCGGAGUGAGUUUUAGGCCAUCUAUGCCCAGGGGAUGAACGCCGCCCACUCCCCUGGCCGGUCCUGGCAAUAGGACCUCAGAAACCUACCCACAUCCUGGUUUACUCUCUCCUUCUGCACGUUACUCUUGGGGUGAAAACCUGAGGUGAGGCUGACUGAGACCCCCAGACGUUCCAUGAACGCUCUCCAGACCCUGGAUGUGAACUGGGGACAUCGAUCAGAAACUAUGUCCUCAGGCACCCCGUAGUGCCGGAAGACGUGUGUGAACAGGGCCUCCGCCGUCUGUAGCGAUGUAGGGAGCCCGGGCAAAGGAAGGUGAUGGCAGGACUUGGAAAAUCGAUCCACAACGACCAGGAUCGUGGUGUUGCCUUGUGAGGGAGGAAGAUCCGUCAGGAAGUCCACCGACAGGUGUGACCACGACCGUUGUGGAACGGGGUUGUAACUUCCCUCUGGACAGGUGUCUAGGAGCCUUGCACUGGGCACACACUGAGCAGGAGGAAACAUUAACCCUCACGUCCUUGGCCAAGGUGGACCAGUACUUCCCACUAAGGCAACGCACCAUCAGACCGAUGCCAGGAUGACCAGAGGAUUAUGACGUGUGGGCCCAAUAGAUCAACCGGUCGCGGACAGCAGACGGAUCGUACAGGCGCCCAGCUGGACACUGGGGGGGAGUGGGCUCUGUGCUUAACGCCCACUCGAUGUCCGCGUCCAGCUCCCACACCACCGGUGCCACCAGGCAAGAGGCCGGAAGUAUGGGAGUGUUAUCCAUGGACCGCUCCUCUGUGUCAUACAUCCGGGACAGUGCGUCUGCCUUUGCGUUCUGGGAACCUGGUCUGUAGGACAGAGUGAAAACAAAACGGGUAAAGAACAUGGCCCACCUUGCCUGGCGAGGGUUCAGUCUCCUCGCUGCUCGAAUGUACUCCAGAUUGCAGUGGUCAGUCCAGAUGAGAAAAGGGUGUUUAGCCCUCUCAAGCCAAUGUCUCCACGCCUUCAGAGCCUUGACCACAGCCAACAGCUCCUGAUCCCCCACAUCAUAGUUUUGCUCCGCCGGGCUGAGCUUCUUCGAAAAGAAAGCACAGGGGCGGAGCUUUGGUGGCGUACCCGAGCUCUGAGAGAGCACGGCUCCUAUCCCAGCCUUUGGACGCGUCCACCUCCACUAUGAACGCCAAAGAGGAAUCCGGAUGAGCCAGUGCGGGAGUCGAGGUAAACAGAGCCUUCAGGUGACCAAAAGCCCUGUCCGCCUCAUCCGACCACUGCAGUCUCACCGGUCCCCCCUUCAGCAGUGAGGUAGUGGGAGCUGCUCCCUGACCAAAGCCCCAGACAAACCUCCGGUAGUAGUUGGCAAACCCUAGAAACCACUGCACCUCC
Long non-coding RNA from Oncorhynchus tshawytscha (Chinook salmon), 1667 nucleotides. The record is from Ensembl. NCBI's taxonomy places the organism in Eukaryota, Metazoa, Chordata, Actinopteri, Salmoniformes, Salmonidae.